Molecule: long non-coding RNA, 1899 nt
Organism: Bubalus bubalis (water buffalo)
Lineage: Eukaryota; Metazoa; Chordata; Mammalia; Artiodactyla; Bovidae
Exons: 3
Source: RefSeq, a predicted model, not a curated record
UUCAGUGUGCCAGGUGCUGGGCAAAACUCUACAAAUGUUCACUCCUUUAAUCCUCAAAUUGAUUAUAUGGGCAGAGAAACAGAACAAAAAAUUUAAGUCACAUACCCAAAUUCACACAGCAAGGAAGUGGCAGAGUUGGGGUUUAAACCCAGGGAAUUCAGCUGCAGCCCUUAACACCUACAUUCCCAAAUCCUCUAAAGUGAUAGUUUUUGUUUGUUUUUUUAAAGCAGGGGCUCCCUCUCAACAAUUACUGAGCUCUUCUUGCUUACCUUUCUUGUGCACCAUCUUCCCAGGUGCAUACCAUCAUUCCCAUUCCCCAGGUGUGCACAAACAUUCCAUUACUCCUUUAUGCUUCGGUACCAUUAAACCAAGGCAUAAAGGAGUAACUCUUGGAGCCGAGAUGCUUUUAUGUCCAAAGAGAAAAUCUCAAGAGUUUGUGAGGCUCAUCCACCCUCGGGCCAGCUCAGGGAAGGAACCAGCAGGAACCCAAAGCCUCUGCCUUUUCCAGUCUCCAGGCCCCUGCUGCCACCAGUCAAGGCCCUCGACGUGCCCCAACUCAGAGGUGGGAACUGAUCAGAAACGCCAAAACAUUUGCCCAAACUGCUGACAGUAAGAGGUAACAGUUGGACCGGAGCCAUGCCUCUAAGACCACCAUUAAGAGGUAACAGUUGGACCGGAGCCAUGCCUCUAAGACCACCAUUAAGGCACUGUCAGGCAGGUCUGUGAGUCCCGGUGCCCAAGGCACCCAAGAACCGCAGAGAAUCCUUUGAAAAUGUUUGAGACCCAGAUGCAUAAACACCUGGGCUCUAGAAUGCAAAAGGGGAACGCCAAGUCCAAAUGAACCCAUGUUUUAUUAUGUUUAAGAACAGGAUGUCAACUUUAUUGUGGUUAAAAUCCAUCCAUCUGGAAAGAGGCUUGGGUUGGGAAUGCUCUCCCUGAGAAGACCCCAAGCAGAUCGCCGGCAGUUGUCUAUUUUAGAGAGCUGCCUGUGGCCAAUAGAUUUCCAAAGCAAAAUGAUAAAUUACAAGAAUAAUUAACCCGAUACGCAUUUAGCACGUGGAGAGUCUGCUUCGAGUUGGGAGUGUUUUAACUGCUUUAAUCCCAACAGCGCCUCUACUGGGUGCGGCUGUUUUGAUACAGGUCCAAGCGACGGGGAAACUGAGGCACAAGGAAGUCAAAGAGCUGAGGAGGGACACAGCUGGGGUUUGAACCUCACCAGACCCCCUCAUGUGGUCGGCACCCUUGACCCCUGUAUUGUCUUCAGCCUUGUGUUUCACGGCGGCGUCUUCAGUGGAACGGGAGAUGCGGAUACCAUGGAGACCGUUUGAUUUGGAAAGGGUAUGGAUGUCGGGCACGGCGCAGUUGGAGGUUCCAGAUCUGGAUGGACGAUGGUGGUAAAUUAGGUCAGGACUCCUCUAUGUCCCCUCCAAUCCCCGUUCUCCUCCCCGGACUGCAAGCCAUCCAAGGCAGGUCGCCUGCCGCCCUGGACCUGGAUGCCAGACAGUAUGCAGCCCCGCCCCUGACUACGCCCUGGUGGCCGGCGCUGAUUGGAUCCGGGUGGGUGUAACCUCUAGAGCGGUACUUCAUACAACACCUGGUAGCGAAUUAGAGGACGUACUUCGAAAGCUCUGCCUGCGAGGCUCUUCUUGCGCGGUGAUUGGCUCCCAAUCUUCCCUUCUCCUCUAGCAUCUGCCUCCAAACUGUGCCUCAGCAGCAAGUUGUUUAGAAGCUAGGGCUGGGGCUCAGAAAACAUUGUCUCCCCAUUGCCCAGUAGCAUACAGAAGGAGCUCAAGCAAUCAAUACAUGUUGGACUUCCCUGGUGGACCAGUGGUUAAGAAUCCGCUUGCCAAUGCAGGGGACACGGGUUUGAUCCCUGGUCUGGGAAGAUUCCACAUGCCA